Molecule: ribosomal RNA, 253 nt
Filed under: uncultured bacterium
Lineage: Bacteria
Description: partial 16S ribosomal RNA
Rfam family: Bacterial small subunit ribosomal RNA
Source: RNAcentral
UACAGAGGUCCCAAGCGUUGUUCGGAUUCAUUGGGCGUAAAGGGCGCGUAGGCGGCGCGGUAAGUCGGGUGUGAAAUCUCGGAGCUUAACUCCGAAACUGCAUUCGAUACUGCCGUGCUUGAGGACUGGAGAGGAGACUGGAAUUUACGGUGUAGCGGUGAAAUGCGUAGAUAUCGUAAGGAAGACCAGUGGCGAAGGCGGGUCUCUGGACAGUUCCUGACGCUGAGGCACGAAGGCCAGGGGAGCAAACGGG